This is a long non-coding RNA of Fulmarus glacialis (Northern fulmar), 1423 nucleotides long. RefSeq lists it as uncharacterized. NCBI's taxonomy places the organism in Eukaryota, Metazoa, Chordata, Aves, Procellariiformes, Procellariidae. The record is from RefSeq and is a predicted model, not a curated record. The transcript is spliced from 2 exons.
AGAUUUUAGAAAUAAUCAGGGUUAUUCUGAAGCUGUAUGAGCAGUGGAAGAACUUUGAUGAGAGGAAAGAGAUGGCUACUAUUCUUAGUAAAAUGCCUAAACCAAAACCACCUCCAAACAGUGAAGGAGAACAGGGUCCAAAUGGUAGCCAGAACUCUAGUUAUAGCCAAUCUUAAGACAUUCCAAAGAAUUUCUUUAUGGACCACUUUGACUCAAGACAUCCUGGGAUCUUCCCUGUGUUCAUGAAAUGGACAGAAGGUUUUAGUAACAUCUUUGACAAAGAACUUGAAGAAUAAAUAGCUUGUUUGUGUCAAGCAUUUUGAAAGCUUUUUCUUUAAAACUGCAUCAUUUUCUCUGACGCUGGAGCAAAUGUACUAUGAUUUUUCAGUGUAAGGAAUCAACCGUUAAACCGAGCUGCAAAAGAUUAACACUAUCCACUCAAAACAAAUAGUACAGUAUUGGUUUUGUUUGCUUUGAGAAAAUUGUAACUUGCCAUUGAAGUGAACUAUUUUUAAAGCAACAGUAACCUGAAGCCUAAGUGUAAGCAUAUUAAUGACCUGUGUUGUUUUCAUUUUGUUUGUGACUGAAGGAAGAUAGUGCACUGUAUGUUAAAUCUAUUCAUUACCUUGAGUUUUGUUGAUUUUUUUUAAAAAAAAAAUGGAUUCUGUAACAAGUAACACAGCAAUCCUUCAGAAACAAAGCCUAAAAGAGCCUGCAAAGAAUAUUGUUACAGUUUUAAUGAAAGCUGCAGGAAAGAAAUCCAGUUCCUUUUUUGGAUUAGAAAAAUGCUGUUUUACUCAGUAUAUGUACUUGGAUGUUUUUGCCAUGAAGCGUAGUAGCUCAGCUUUCCAGAAAAGUGCAAUAUGUAUAGUGAUUCUGCAGUUUUCUUAAACAUUUCAAGUGUUAGGAAUUUAAAAAACCCGACAUACUAUGAUUUUUGUUUUCAAGUAAACGUACUGUAUAGUACAAUCGGAAUAUUUCACAAUCAAGUAGAAAUCUGGACAUCAUUGCUAUUUUUUAUGGUGGAUUUUUUUUGUACAAAAGAUAUACACUGUUAGUCUGCCUUCACUGUUAGUGUGAAUUUGUGUGGUUCAUUAGAGAGUUUAUUUAAGAGGAUCAAGCUUUUGGUGAGCUUCAUACUGGCUAAUUUUAAUUGUGAUGUUAGGAGCAACUCUUUAGAAUAACUGAAAUGGGAUUCCUUGGUUAACUAUGUGCUGGAGAAAAUGAGAUUCCUUUAAACAGAAGGCCAUAUCCUGUGUUCCUUACUCAGGCAGAUAUCCCACUGAAGUCAGGAAUUGGCCUAAAUCGAAUUUCUUGAUUUUUAGAUAACUUUGUUUCUAAUUAAGUUCUGUACAAUUUCAUUUUGAAUGAUAAAGCUGACUUGCCCAAGUAUAAAAAUUGAAUGAUAAAAUAAAGUGCAGUA